This 521-nucleotide ribosomal RNA is filed under the name uncultured bacterium. RNAcentral's name for it is "bacterial SSU rRNA". It matches the Rfam family "Bacterial small subunit ribosomal RNA", at positions 8 to 524 of the family's 1533-position model. The record is from RNAcentral.
AGAGUUUGAUCCUGGCUCAGAUUGAACGCUGGCGGAAUGCUUUACACAUGCAAGUCGAACGGCAGCACGGACUUCGGUCUGGUGGCGAGUGGCGAACGGGUGAGUAACAUAUCGGAACGUAUCCAAUAAUGGGGGAUAACUAAUCGAAAGGUUGGCUAAUACCGCAUACGCCCUACGGGGGAAAGCAGGGGAUCUUCGGACCUUGCGUUAAUGGAGCGGCUGAUAUCUGAUUAGCUAGUUGGUGAGGUAAAGGCUCACCAAGGCGACGAUUAGUAGCUGGUCUGAGAGGACGACCAGCCACACUGGAACUGAGACACGGUCCAGACUCCUACGGGAGGCAGCAGUGGGGAAUUUUGGACAAUGGGCGCAAGCCUGAUCCAGCCAUUCCGCGUGAGUGAAGAAGGCCUUCGGGUUGUAAAGCUCUUUCGCAAGGGAAGAAAACUUACUUUCUAAUAAAGAGUGAGGUUGACGGUACCUUGAUAAGAAGCACCGGCUAACUACGUGCCAGCAGCCGCGGUAAU